Long non-coding RNA from Raphanus sativus (radish), 1340 nucleotides. RefSeq lists it as uncharacterized. Lineage: Eukaryota; Viridiplantae; Streptophyta; Magnoliopsida; Brassicales; Brassicaceae. The record is from RefSeq and is a predicted model, not a curated record. The transcript is spliced from 3 exons.
UACACGUCAUUCACAUUGUUUUUGUUCUAAACGUUUCCACUUUCUUAAUUUUACCGUUCACGGACGAUGCUCAAAGACGAAGCAUCAAAGGGAGUAUUGUCGUCGGCGGCUGAUUCCGAUGAUCGAUCCCACCCUGAUUCGUAGCUCUAGCUCUGGCCCAGCUUCUACUUCAUCUGUCUCUUCCUCAGGUGUCUGUAGAGGCCUCCGCGACAAUACCGAGACGGGAAACAUUUGAGCCGGCGGCACUGCUACAGGUACGGUUGGGGAUAUGGUUAUGGUCUUACGUUAGAGAAGAGAUCUUCUCAUGGAAGGAAGUGGAAUGGAAAGCAUAUCUAAGGGAUUCUCAGAGGAGAGUUUAAGCAGUGGAAAAUUACUCUUGGAACGUGUGAUCCAUCACCUAUGAUGGCUAAUCAGUUUUAUGUAAGUCGUAUGACCUUAGUGGAAUUGAAAUCUAUGUUUAUUGAAUCCCAGACUUGUUAGUUCCAUUGAUAGUAUUUUACUUCCAAAGUGUAGCCUUUUAUACUUCCAUUGUGUUACUCUUUGAGGAUCUUGCAACAGAGGAUCAUAUCUUCCAAUUAUACCAUCGAAAGCUUAAGGCCAGGCUCAAGUCUUUUCCAAAGCGUUGCAGGUAAGAUUAAAUUUGGUCAUUUUCACCAUCAUGCAUAUAUCACAUUCAUAUUUUACUAUUGAAAUGAAUCUCUUCUGGCAUAGUAAUAUAUCAGAAUGAUAAUCAGUGUAUUGUGUUAUCAAUCUUUGGCCUAGAAAACAUGAAUCUCUAAACAGAUUGCAGAAGAGAAGUUGCAGAUAUUGAUUUAAAGUUCCGGAGUUUGGUAGCAAUUGGCUUGUUGGUUAGUUCUCAAAUCACUAAGUUCUUCCGUUCAAGAACAAUAUGUAUAUAUGCUUGUUGGUUACAGAUUUUUUUCCAAUACAAAUGCUUGAAGGCCUCGUGAAGAAUAUAGCAAAUUAGCAAUAGGCUUUUAGGUGGAAGUUGGUGCUGAUAUCGAUUUUGUGAUUUGCCAACUUUAGAAGGACACUUGUGACACCGCCAAUAUUAGGAUUGUUUUGAAUGUAAAUUUUAUUCAAUUUUAUUACUCGACUAAAUUUUCUAACAGAACAUCAUAUUUUUACCAAUCAAAAUUUGCACAAAAAGUAUUAAUAAAAUUAAAUUUAAACAAAUAACUAUUACCAAACAGAAUAAAACUUAAUAAAUCCCCACAAUAAUAAGGCUAGGUUCUCUCAAGUUGUUGACACAUCAGACUUUUAGAGUGUUGAGAAAUGGACAUGUCAUUAACUGAAAAAAACAUUGAAAACCAGUUAUAACAUUUAGUUUGUCCAUGUCA